CCCUUAGAUGUCCUGGGCCGCACGCGUGCUACACUGACACUUGCAACGAGUACUUUGCUUUACCGAAAGGUAAUGCUAAUCAUCAAUAAGUGUCGUGAUGGGGAUAGAUCUUUGGAAUUAUGGAUCUUGAACGAGGAAUGCCUAGUAAGCGUAGGUCAUUAGCCUACGCUGAUUAAGUCCCUGCCCUUUGUACACACCGCCCGUCGCUACUACCGAUUUCGAGUGGUCCGGUGAAGCUUUUGGACUGCGCGUGGCUUCGUGCCGUGUCGCGGAAAGUCAGCUAAACCUUAUCACUUAGAGGAAGUAAAAGUCGUAACA
Molecule: ribosomal RNA, 318 nt
Filed under: uncultured eukaryote
Lineage: Eukaryota
Description: partial 18S ribosomal RNA
Rfam family: Eukaryotic small subunit ribosomal RNA
Source: RNAcentral